AAAACAGAAGUAAAAAUUACACUCAGUUUCGACCUGAUAUAUGGUUAUAUCCCUGUUUUA
Molecule: transfer RNA, 60 nt
Filed under: Bahadzia jaraguensis
Lineage: Eukaryota; Metazoa; Arthropoda; Malacostraca; Amphipoda; Hadziidae
Description: transfer RNA Arginine
Source: RNAcentral